This 327-nucleotide ribosomal RNA is filed under the name uncultured bacterium. RNAcentral describes it as "bacterial SSU rRNA". It matches the Rfam family "Bacterial small subunit ribosomal RNA", at positions 29 to 353 of the family's 1533-position model. The record is from RNAcentral.
AACGAACGCUAGCGGUGCGUUUUAAGCAUGCAAGUCGAACGGUAACAGGACUAGCUUGCUAGUUGCUGACAAGCGGCGGACGGGUGCGUAACACGUAGGAAUCUACCCAGUAGCGGGGGAUAGCCCGGAGAAAUCCGGAUUAAUACCGCAUACGCCCUACGGGGGAAAGCAGGGGAUCUUCGGACCUUGCACUAUUGGAUGAGCCUGCGUCGGAUUAGCUUGUUGGUGAGGUAAAGGCUCACCAAGGCGACGAUCCGUAGCUGGUCUGAGAGGAUGAUCAGCCACACUGGGACUGAGACACGGCCCAGACUCCUACGGGAGGCAGCA